This 253-nucleotide ribosomal RNA is filed under the name uncultured bacterium. RNAcentral describes it as "partial 16S ribosomal RNA". It matches the Rfam family "Bacterial small subunit ribosomal RNA", at positions 524 to 776 of the family's 1533-position model. The record is from RNAcentral.
UACGUAGGGUCCGAGCGUUGUCCGGAAUUAUUGGGCGUAAAGGGCUCGUAGGCGGUUUGUCGCGUCGGGAGUGAAAACACCGGGCUUAACUCGGUGCUUGCUUUCGAUACGGGCAGACUGGAGGUAUGCAGGGGAGAACGGAAUUCCUGGUGUAGCGGUGAAAUGCGCAGAUAUCAGGAGGAACACCGGUGGCGAAGGCGGUUCUCUGGGCCAUUACUGACGCUGAGGAGCGAAAGCGUGGGGAGCGAACAGG